This 253-nucleotide ribosomal RNA is filed under the name uncultured bacterium. Its description in RNAcentral is "partial 16S ribosomal RNA". It matches the Rfam family "Bacterial small subunit ribosomal RNA", at positions 524 to 776 of the family's 1533-position model. The record is from RNAcentral.
UACGUAGGGUGCGAGCGUUGUCCGGAAUUAUUGGGCGUAAAGAGCGUGUAGGCGGCCAGGUAGGUCUGGUGUGAAAACUCGAGGCUUAACCUCGAGAUGUCAUCGGAAACCAUCUGGCUAGAGUCCGGAAGAGGAGAGUGGAAUUCCUGGUGUAGCGGUGAAAUGCGCAGAUAUCAGGAAGAACACCAAUGGCGAAAGCAGCUCUCUGGGACGGUACUGACGCUGAGACGCGAAAGCGUGGGGAGCAAACAGG